Molecule: small nuclear RNA, 108 nt
Organism: Sapajus apella (tufted capuchin)
Lineage: Eukaryota; Metazoa; Chordata; Mammalia; Primates; Cebidae
Source: RefSeq, a predicted model, not a curated record
GUGCUCGCUUCGGCAGCACAGAUACUAAAAUUGGAAUGAUACAGAGAAGAUUAGCUAUGGCCCCUGCGCAGUGAUGACACGCAAGUUUGUGACACGUUCCAUAAAAAA